AUUCAAACUCUUUUUGGUUAAACUCUCUUUUAAUUUUGGAAGCACCAAUUAUUCCAUUGUACCUGAGAAAGCACAAGAAAACACAGCUACAUCCUGUGGACCUGUGGAAAAAUAAUCCUACUUUUUGAUGGAUGGAAUAUGUUCAAAGUAGCAUUCUUGUAUGGAGUAUACAAUUAACUGUCUUGGUAACCUGAAAACCAAUAGGACAGAAACAUACUCCAUUUAUCAUUCAGAUUUCUGGGGAGUCUUGCCUACUUACAGAUCUACUCAGAAGAUAAAGGGGCCAUGUCUAUUUACCUUUUAAAAGGUAAAUUUUUCUGGUUUUACCUUUUAAUUAUAA
This 340-nucleotide long non-coding RNA is filed under the name Parus major (Great Tit). RNAcentral's name for it is "lncRNA (ENSPMJG00000016092.1)". Lineage: Eukaryota; Metazoa; Chordata; Aves; Passeriformes; Paridae. The record is from RNAcentral.